This 69-nucleotide antisense RNA is filed under the name Streptomyces bingchenggensis BCW-1. RNAcentral's name for it is "ASpks TB sRNA". It matches the Rfam family "ASpks TB sRNA". Lineage: Bacteria; Bacillati; Actinomycetota; Actinomycetes; Kitasatosporales; Streptomycetaceae. The record is from Rfam by way of RNAcentral.
CUUGACCGAGCCGAGCAGCAGGGGCCGUUCGCGCUCCUGUCCGUAGGUGGCGAGCAGGGCCUGGGCCUC